This is a non-coding RNA of Schistosoma mattheei, 48 nucleotides long. The record is from Rfam. Lineage: Eukaryota; Metazoa; Platyhelminthes; Trematoda; Strigeidida; Schistosomatidae.
AUUCAACUGAUGAGUCCCAAAUAGGAUGAAACGUGCUUUAUCCUGGAU